Molecule: long non-coding RNA, 357 nt
Organism: Rhopalosiphum maidis (corn leaf aphid)
Lineage: Eukaryota; Metazoa; Arthropoda; Insecta; Hemiptera; Aphididae
Exons: 3
Source: RefSeq, a predicted model, not a curated record
CCACUUUAGACUGAUCGGCAGAAGUGUAUAUAAAGACGUCCGAGAUCUCCAUUCCGGCAUAACACAUCUUUUUGUGCACAUUUAUUCUUUGUUUUCACUUUAAUCCUCAAAAAUCAAACAACAAAUCAAAAAUGGGCGCUGAAAAAGUAUCCAUGAACAUCGUUGUCGUCGGACAAGUCCAAUCUGCCAAGGCCGUCAAAACCGUCGCCAAGGCCACACCAUCCACCAACCAACUCAUUAGCUGUUAAUUUAUGUAGUUCAUACACCUCAAACUCAAAAAUGUCAUAGCCCUAACAAUGUAAUAUGAAACAAUCAUUUUGAUAUUGACACCAUAAAAUAAAACAGUCUCUUCCAAUA